GGGUGAGUAACACGUAUGGAACCUGCCCGUAGCAGGGGGAUAAGCGGAGAAAAUUCCGUCUAAUACCGCGUAAUAACUCCGAGGGGCAUCUCUUGGGGUUUAAAGGGUAACACCGGCUACGGAUGGCCAUGCGGCGCAUUAGCUAGUUGGCGGGGUAACGGCCCACCAAGGCGACGAUGCGUAGGGGUUCUGAGAGGAAGGUCCCCCACACUGGUACUGAGACACGGACCAGACUCCUACGGGAGGCAGCAGUGAGGAAUAUUGGUCAAUGGGCGCGAGCCUGAACCAGCCAAGUCGCGUGAGGGAAGACGGUCCUAUGGAUUGUAAACCUCUUUUGUCGGGGAGCAAAAGACGCCACGCGUGGCGUUCCGAGAGUACCCGAAGAAAAAGCAUCGGCUAACUCCGUGCCAGCAGCCGCGGUAAUACGGAGGAUGCGAGCGUUAUCCGGAUUUAUUGGGUUUAAAGGGUGCGCAGGCGGAAGAUCAAGUCAGCGGUAAAAUUGAGAGGCUCAACCUCUUCGAGCCGUUGAAACUGGUUUUCUUGAGUGAGCGAGAAGUAUGCGGAAUGCGUGGUGUAGCGGUGAAAUGCAUAGAUAUCACGCAGAACUCCGAUUGCGAAGGCAGCAUACCGGCGCUCAACUGACGCUCAUGCACGAAAGUGUGGGUAUCGAACAGGAUUAGAUACCCUGGUAGUCCACACAGUAAACGAUG
RNAcentral lists this ribosomal RNA (710 nucleotides) under uncultured bacterium. RNAcentral describes it as "bacterial SSU rRNA". It matches the Rfam family "Bacterial small subunit ribosomal RNA", at positions 104 to 811 of the family's 1533-position model. The record is from RNAcentral.